RNAcentral lists this unclassified non-coding RNA (271 nucleotides) under fungal sp. RNAcentral describes it as "partial contains 5.8S ribosomal RNA, internal transcribed spacer 2, and large subunit ribosomal RNA". Lineage: Eukaryota; Fungi. The record is from RNAcentral.
CGCAUCUUGCGCUCGAUGGUAUUCCGUCGAGCAUGUCUGUUCGAGUGUCCUCACGAAAGGAUCAGCCUUCCAUUUCUUUUGAACUUGAUGGCUGGAUGUGGGCGAAGGCGGAUCUAUGUAAUCUGCCGGCCCAAAAUCCAAACGGCUUCGUACGAUUGCCUGCAAGUGUUGUAAUGUCAUUAUUCACUGCGUAGAUAGUUGUAUGGAUGCCAUGAAAAAUAUGUACUAUUUUUUUAACCUCGAAUUAGGCAGGAGUACCCGCUGAACUUAA